GAGCUCACUGCGCAGUGACGCGGAAACGUACACGCAACCGCCAGCGGCACAGACCGGCGCGAGAGGUGCCGCUGCUGCUGCUGCUGCUGCCGCCGCCGCCGCUGGUAGUCGUGGCGGUGGUUCCAUCGACACCUCUCCAGCGCAGCGCUCUCUCGCUCCUGUCGCGGCGCUCUUCCUGUUUGCCACUUUAGCGGAAAUGAACAGCGCCACGCCCGGUGCCCGCGUCCUCGCUGCGAUCGCGCCUCUAUCGUAUCUACGCCGUCGGCGCACAGCUGCAUCGUCGUCUCCGCCGUUUUCAUUGUCGCCGCGGCACGCGGCGUGCGCCUCCGCGACGGCUCGUCGCCCUUUCACCUCCUCGCUUCUCAGCAAACUCGGAGACUCUGUUGCCUUUAAGGUGUCGCAGCUCGCCGAGAACGUCUGGCUAGCCGAUGAAAAACUCGUUACGGAGCCGCGGCGAAAGUUCGAGCCGCAGCGCGUCGCCAACACAAGUCUGGCAGAGCGCCUCGCGGCGCAACGAAAUGUGCGGCAGCGUCUCGUGCCGACGAGGGUCCAGGUUGACAAGUCGCGUCAGUACGUUGAGUUCACGUGGCCUGAGGACGCGAUCGAAGUGAUGCGCUGCGUCUCUCUCGAGGCGGAUCCGUCUGACCCGACAGAACCGCCUAGGACUUCAUCUGGCAGAUCUUCGUCAAGGCCUGCUACUGCACCUGCUGCCCGCUCCUCGUCUGCAGGGCCGGCAGCCUCGUCGCAUGCGCCGGAAAGAGCCGCGGCUUCUGCUCAUCGCGCGCCAGCUGGAGAACUGACGAGGGCGUCUUGGCCGGCUCUCCACUCGCCUUGCGUCCCUUCCGGCGCCCCGCUGCGGACGCGCGCGCUGGCCGAGUACCUGCGCGCCUACACCCCUAGCACCGACGGCGCACUCGGCGGCAAGGAUAUCAUCAUCUACGGCCGCCGCGGCAUCACGAUCACGAAGGUCAUUCCCGUUGGCAGCUACGCCCUGCGCUUUGUCUUUUCCGACGGUCACAGUGGCGGCCUCUACAGCUAUGCGUACCUUUACUAUCUCACGAGCCCCAGCACGAAGUACGGCCUCAUGCGCGGCUACAUCACGGAGCUGCGGCUGCGCCGCCGGUCGCGCGACCCGCCAAAGCGCGCCCCCUCCAUCAAGUACGCCGCGAUGAUCGCGCACAGUGCGGCGACAGCGCCAAGGCACUAGACUACUGGGCACGCGUUGGUCGACUACCCCACCGUCUCGCCCACGUCGCCGGCGCAUGCUUGUCUGUGUGUGUCUCCUCGCCGCACGCUCUCUUGCCAUGUCUGCGGUUGCUUCGAGUGCCUCCCCGUCUCUGUGUCUCCUUGCUUGGGGCCCCUCCUAAUAAUGACGAGGGGGGGGAAGCACGCAGACACCCACCGCUCAGUGCGUGGCAUCAGAGGGUCCGGCCCCACCGCACCCCCCCUCUCCUCCACUCCCGACUCUCUGCGUGUGUGAGGGAGGAAGCCCAGCAGCCCCCACCUCACCCUCCCCAAUGCCGAGCCACUCCUGGUGGUGGUGGCAGGGCCCGGUGCCCGCGACGCAGCGAGGUCAGAGCAAUUCAGCGCUACUGAUGUUGUCGGUCAAGGCCCUGCGUGGCGCUGCGUCGACGCCACCUGCGCAGCGGGCAGAGUGCGAGGCAGGGGCCGUGCUCUCAGGGGACUGCAUCGGCGCCUUGCUGGACCGGCGUGUGUCGACGGCUGCCAUGGUCCCACGCGAGGUGGCGCCUGUGUGAUAGAGUCAGAAACGGUGCAGUAUAGCGGAUGCCAUGUGGCAGCGAAAUGGACGCGCCUUGAAAAAAAUACGAAAGAGACACGCAGCCAGGGGAGCGUGGGCACGUGGCAC
RNAcentral lists this unclassified non-coding RNA (1867 nucleotides) under Leishmania donovani. RNAcentral describes it as "gene:LdHU3.21.1960(CDS-product:Protein_of_unknown _function_(DUF971)_putative)". Lineage: Eukaryota; Euglenozoa; Kinetoplastea; Trypanosomatida; Trypanosomatidae. The record is from RNAcentral.